Molecule: transfer RNA, 74 nt
Filed under: archaeon CG10_big_fil_rev_8_21_14_0_10_43_11
Lineage: Archaea
Description: tRNA-Lys
Rfam family: tRNA
About the family: Transfer RNA (tRNA) molecules are approximately 80 nucleotides in length. Their secondary structure includes four short double-helical elements and three loops (D, anti-codon, and T loops).
Source: RNAcentral
GGGCUCAUAGCUCAGGCUGGUAGAGCACUUGGCUUUUAACCAAGGGGUCGGGGGUUCAAAUCCCUCUGGGCCCA